This 88-nucleotide microRNA precursor is filed under the name Equus asinus (donkey). Its description in RNAcentral is "mir-544 microRNA precursor family". It matches the Rfam family "mir-544 microRNA precursor family". Lineage: Eukaryota; Metazoa; Chordata; Mammalia; Perissodactyla; Equidae. The record is from Rfam by way of RNAcentral. RNAcentral also lists the same sequence under 1 other name.
AACAGCUGGGGAUCUUGUUAAAAUGCAGAUUCUGAUUCAGUAGGGGUCUGGGAUCCUGCACUUCUAACAAGCUCCCAGGUGAUGCGGA